RNAcentral lists this transfer RNA (76 nucleotides) under Oligoflexia bacterium. Its description in RNAcentral is "tRNA-Lys". It matches the Rfam family "tRNA". From Rfam's summary of the family: Transfer RNA (tRNA) molecules are approximately 80 nucleotides in length. Their secondary structure includes four short double-helical elements and three loops (D, anti-codon, and T loops). The record is from RNAcentral. Lineage: Bacteria; Pseudomonadati; Bdellovibrionota; Oligoflexia.
GAGCCGUUAGCUCAGUGUAGAGCAGUUGGUUCUUAACCAACGGGUCCUUAGGUUCAAAUCCUGAGACGGCUCACCA